GUGCUUGUGGUGUAGUGGUUAUCACAUCCGCCUAACACGCGGAAGGCCCAGGUUCGAUCCCUGGCAGGCACA
This 72-nucleotide transfer RNA is filed under the name Rhipicephalus microplus (southern cattle tick). Its description in RNAcentral is "tRNA-Val". It matches the Rfam family "tRNA". Rfam says of the family: Transfer RNA (tRNA) molecules are approximately 80 nucleotides in length. Their secondary structure includes four short double-helical elements and three loops (D, anti-codon, and T loops). The record is from Rfam by way of RNAcentral. Lineage: Eukaryota; Metazoa; Arthropoda; Arachnida; Ixodida; Ixodidae.